RNAcentral lists this ribosomal RNA (773 nucleotides) under uncultured Neocallimastigales. RNAcentral's name for it is "partial large subunit ribosomal RNA". It matches the Rfam family "Eukaryotic large subunit ribosomal RNA", at positions 20 to 616 of the family's 3401-position model. The record is from RNAcentral. Lineage: Eukaryota; Fungi; Neocallimastigomycota; Neocallimastigomycetes; Neocallimastigales.
ACUAGAGUAGCACUCGCAUAUCAAUAAGCGGAGGAAAAGAAACUAACAAGGAUUCCCCUAGUAACGGCGAGUGAAGCGGGAAGAGCUCAAAUUUGAAAUCUUAAAGGGUUUCCCUUUACGAAUUGUAGUUUAAAGAAGUGUUUUCUGUUGAGGUUUUGGUAAAAGUUCUUUGGAAUAGGACAUCAUAGAGGGUGAGAAUCCCGUAUUUGACCUUUACUUUCAACUUUGUGAUACACUUUCAAAGAGUCGGAUUGUUUGGGAAUGCAGUCCAAAAUGGGUGGUAAAUUUCAUCUAAAGCUAAAUAUUGGCGAGAGACCGAUAGCGAACAAGUACCGUGAGGGAAAGAUGAAAAGAACUUUGAAAAGAGAGUUAAACAGUACGUGAAAUUGUCAAAAGGGAAGCGUUUGACACCAGUGUUGUUUUUCUGAAAAUCAAUUAAAGAACUGUUUAUGCUAAGCUGUUUAGACUUUAUCAGCUAUCUGUUUAGUUUUAGGCUUUUCUUUAAUGCACUUUUCAGUUAACAAGUCAACAUCAAUUUCUUUUGCUGUAAAAAAGCUUGAGGAAGGUGGCUUGAGAUUCGUCUUAAGUGUUUAUAGCCUCUUGCCUAUGCAGUCGGAGAGAUUGAGGUCUGCAGCGUAGAUCCUUCGGGGCUAAAUGCAUUUGUGCUAAGUUAUAGCAUUUUAUAGACAACUUGUUGACUAUGAUUUGUCUUGUAGCUUACUCGCUUAUGUUAUUUUACCUACGCUUAGGAUGUUGAGCGCAUGUCUCUCUCU